RNAcentral lists this ribosomal RNA (492 nucleotides) under uncultured bacterium. RNAcentral's name for it is "partial 16S ribosomal RNA". It matches the Rfam family "Bacterial small subunit ribosomal RNA", at positions 29 to 507 of the family's 1533-position model. The record is from RNAcentral.
AGUGAACGCUGGCGGUAGGCCUAACACAUGCAAGUCGAACGGCAGCACAGUAAGAGCUUGCUCUUACGGGUGGCGAGUGGCGGACGGGUGAGGAAUACAUCGGAAUCUACUUUUUCGGGGGGGUUAACGUAGGGAAACUUACGCUAAUACCGCAUACGACCUACGGUUGAAAGCAGGGGAUCUUCGGACCUUACGCGAAUGAAUGAGCCGAUGUCGGAUUGGCUAGUUGGCGGGGUAAAGGCCCACCAAGGCGACGAUCCGUAGCUGGUCUGAGAGGAUGGUCAGCCACACUGGAACUGAGACACGGUCCAGGCUCCUGCGGGAGGCAGCAGUGGGGAAUAUUGGACAAUGGGCGCAAGCCUGAUCCAGCCAUACCGCGUGGGUGAAGAAGGCCUUCGGGUUGUAAAGCCCUUUUGUUGGGAAAGAAAAGCAGCAGGUUAAUACCCCGCUGUUCUGACGGUACCCAAAGAAUAAGCACCGGCUAACUUCGUG